Molecule: ribosomal RNA, 1002 nt
Filed under: uncultured bacterium
Lineage: Bacteria
Description: bacterial SSU rRNA
Rfam family: Bacterial small subunit ribosomal RNA
Source: RNAcentral
CAUGCAAGUCGAGGGGUAUAGUUCUUCGGAACUAGAGACCGGCGCACGGGUGCGUAACGCGUAUGCAAUCUACCUUUUGCAGAGGGAUAGCCCAGAGAAAUUUGGAUUAAUACCUCAUAGUAUGUGAGAAUGGCAUCAUUUUCACAUUAAAGUCACAACGGCAAAAGAUGAGCAUGCGUCCCAUUAGCUAGUUGGUAAGGUAACGGCUUACCAAGGCUACGAUGGGUAGGGGUCCUGAGAGGGAGAUCCCCCACACUGGUACUGAGACACGGACCAGACUCCUACGGGAGGCAGCAGUGAGGAAUAUUGGACAAUGGGCGCAAGCCUGAUCCAGCCAUGCCGCGUGCAGGAUGACGGUCCUAUGGAUUGUAAACUGCUUUUGUACAGGAAGAAACAGUUCUACGUGUAGAACCUUGACGGUACUGUAAGAAUAAGGAUCGGCUAACUCCGUGCUAGCAGCCGCGGUAAUACGGAGGAUCCAAGCGUUAUCCGGAAUCAUUGGGUUUAAAGGGUCCGUAGGCGGUUUAGUAAGUCAGUGGUGAAAGCCCAUCGCUCAACGGUGGAACGGCCAUUGAUACUGCUAGACUUGAAUUAUUAGGAAGUAACUAGAAUAUGUAGUGUAGCGGUGAAAUGCUUAGAGAUUACAUGGAAUACCAAUUGCGAAGGCAGGUUACUACUAAUGGAUUGACGCUGAUGGACGAAAGCGUGGGUAGCGAACAGGAUUAGAUACCCUGGUAGUCCACGCCGUAAACGAUGGAUACUAGCUGUUGGGGGCAACUUCAGUGGCUAAGCGAAAGUGAUAAGCAUCCCACCUGGGGGAGUACGUUCGCAAGAAUGAAACUCAAAGGAAUUGACGGGGGCCCGCACAAGCGGUGGAGCAUGUGGUUUAAUUCGAUGAUACGCGAGGAACCUUACCAAGGCUUAAAUGUAGAUUGACCGGUUUGGAAACAGACUUUUUCGCAAGACAAUUUACAAGGGUGCCUGCAUGGGUUUGUCGUUCAA